Sciurus carolinensis (gray squirrel) is the source of this 859-nucleotide long non-coding RNA. RefSeq lists it as uncharacterized. The record is from RefSeq and is a predicted model, not a curated record. Lineage: Eukaryota; Metazoa; Chordata; Mammalia; Rodentia; Sciuridae. The transcript has 3 exons.
AUUCGCAUGCAGUUUAAGAAACAAUACAGAGACAACCUGUGUGCCCUUCAGCCAGUUUCCCCCAAGAGCAGCAUCCUGGGUAACCAGAGGACAGGACCACACCAGGAAAUGAACUUGACCGGAUCUAUCGACCUUCCCAGAUCUCACCAGGGUUACCUAUGCUCAGAUUUAGGUGUUUGGCGUUGUUUGAAGGCAAACCAGAAGGUGCUGGCAUUUAGAACAGACCUGGUAAUGAGACUUUGGCCACCAGAUUCCUUAUUACUACUGCAACACAAAAUCUCUGUUCCAUCAGUUCAUCUUUCUGCAGUCUGGUCAGAAAUGAGAAAGGGCCCACUGUUCUUUGUCUGAUUAACAGCACCUUGGCCUGGACUUUCUUCUGGACUACAGUCCCUUCCUACCAUGCAAAUUAGGGCACACCAGCAACUCCAGCCACCUGAUGAGCAGGCCAGCCAAGGCCCAAAGUUCUUCUAAACACGCUAUCCCCCGGCCAUGGCGCAUGGUCCAGGGAUGGACUCAGUUUUGAAAAACAGUAGUUGCAGAAUGUUACAGUGUGGAUCUGGAAUGUUCCCCAAGGCUCAUGCUUGGUCCCCAGUGCAGCAGUGUUCAGAGGUAGAACUUUUGGGAAAGAACUGAAUCAUGAGCGCUCUCACCUUAUCAGUGGAUCAAUUCAUUAAUGGGUUAAUAUUUGGAUGCCCACUGGGGGCAUUUCCUGGAAGUGUAGCUCUUGUCUCUGGUCCUCCCCCUUUGCUUUCUUGCUUUCUCUGCUUGGUAGUUGUUACACCUUCUGCCAUGAUGUUCUGCCUCAGCUUAGGUCCUGUGCAUGGAGCCAACCGACCAUGGACUGAAACUUCUGGAACUG